CACAAACACAGGUCCCAGGGCCAAACUCACUGCCCUCCCCGUUCUCCAGCACGGUGCUGUUUCCUUCAUUUAGAGUGAAACGCUCAUGUGCAGUGGAUGCUGUGGUGCUCCACCUCCAAUCCCUCUUCAGGUCCGGUGCCCUGUCCUCCAGAUGCUGGGCACACUGCCUGCCGAUUUUCACAGCUGCACCCCUCUCUGGGAACUGUGGACAAGUGAAGGGCCAACCCUGCUCCAGAGCUCCCUGCAGGAUCCGGAAAGCUGCCAGGUUUGGGACGCCUGGAGUGAGAGGCAGCUCCACAAGCGCAGUUGCUGUGCAAGCUGCUCUUCCACUGUGGCCACAGAAUCCAGCAGAUGUGAAGGCACUAUGCUUAUCAGUGGACUUUCCAAGUUGGAGGCCUCACUGUUGCUUCAAGUGUGGUAUGGCAGCACCCAUCUGCUGUGUCCAUCUACACUUUAUUAUAUAUCUAUGCACCUCAUCAGGGAAGCACGGGAACCCGCAGGCACUGCUAGUAGGAAGGCAAGCUGGCCUGGCCAUUCUGGAGAAGAACAUGGCAGUAUACUCAGUCACAUUCCAGUCGCACAGCCUGUGAUUUGGUCUAUGGCUGCCUGCACCUGAGUACAGUGUGAAAUCAAGAAACGGCACAGUUUUUAGAAACAUCUGCUUACUGAUUGAGCUUCAUUAACUCCUCAUGUGAGAUCCCAGUCCUGAACCACAGGUGCUGUUGCUUACAGUGCGUAAGAAAAAUAAAUGAGUUCAGCUUCCAGGUUAGUGCUGUGAGGUUACAUAAACUAAUCAUUAAACAUGACAGCUAAGAUAUUUUAGCUACUGUUUAACUUUAAAAGAUUUGUUAAUAAAUAAUGCUAUUGCACACUGGAGGCCUUGACCCUGUCUCUACCUGAGUCACAAACCUUUGUGUUUGUAUAGAAGUUACACUAUUUCCUACAUUUGACUUGAAAUUUAGUCACAUUUUCUUCUCAUUGUCAAUUAUCUACUUUCUCUCUCAUUCAUUCAGUCAUCAAUAAACAUUGAAAAUGAUGAAUGCAACUUGAGACCAAAAGAGUUGGGAAAAAUCCUUUCUAACAUGACUGAAUGAAAAUAUUUCAUGAAUCAAAUGCUCUCUAAAAUGUGAAUAUGAGGCAAACAACCUCCUGGACGACUAAAUGGUCAGAUGCAAAGGUGAACUGACAUGAGCUCCUAAUUGGAUUUUGUAGGCCAACAUUUUUUUAAAAAGUAUUUUUAAUAAGGAAAAUUUCAAGUGUUUACAAAAGUAGAGAAAACAGUACAACAAAUCUCCCUGUACCUAUUGUCGAGGUUCAACCAUCAUUAACUCAUGGUCAAUCAUCUGUCAUGCCCAUCUUGUUUGAUGCGUGUCUGCUUCCAAACCUGUCUGCCUUUCCAAUCCCAGCAAUGCCAGGGCAUUUCACUUUUCAAUUUAUUAUUUACAUAUAUAUCCUAAGUGGAUACAUUCAUCUACUGUACUCUACACACUGGGUUCCACAAAAGCAAGCAGACAUGUGUGGUGCUGUACAACUACUUUUAUAGAACUUGCCACCAUACAUUUAUAAAUUAUAACCAUAUAAUGUACCAACAAUGCUUUGAGGUAGAAUACUACCACUUUACAGAUGAAGGAACUGAAACACAGAGGUUAGGCAACUUGCCCACCAUCACACAGUGAGUUAAGCAGCAGAACUGAGAUUUGAACCCAAACAGUCUGGUUCCAGAGGCUAUGCCUUUAGCCAUGACACCACAGCCUUCACACAGGAAUUUACAUGCACUACUGAACGCUCAACUGCUUAGCCAAAGCUUCUGCAUUGGAAUGGUUCCUGCCUUGUUACCCCAGAUCAAUGAAUAGAGACUUUCCUUAAAACACUAUUCGGAUGGCUCUCCUCAUCCCCAAACAAUACCACAAGUUACUCCAGGGCAUAUUCUGUUUAUAAUUUUGAAAUGUCAGGUUUCAUUUCAUUCAUGGCAUCAAAACUUUGAAAUUUGCUGAGAUGAAACUUACGGCACAGUAUAUGAUCAGUUUUUAUAAAUAUUCAAUGUGUGCUUGAAAAGAAUAUAUAUUCUGCAAUUGUUGGGUUCUAUACACAUCCACUAGAUUGUUAGUCAUGUGUUCAGC
RNAcentral lists this long non-coding RNA (2120 nucleotides) under Homo sapiens (human). RNAcentral describes it as "non-protein coding lnc-KHDRBS3-5:4". The record is from RNAcentral. Lineage: Eukaryota; Metazoa; Chordata; Mammalia; Primates; Hominidae.